Molecule: ribosomal RNA, 435 nt
Filed under: uncultured bacterium
Lineage: Bacteria
Description: partial 16S ribosomal RNA
Rfam family: Bacterial small subunit ribosomal RNA
Source: RNAcentral
AGCGAACGCUGGCGGCAGGCUUAACACAUGCAAGUCGAACGGGCAUCUUCGGAUGUCAGUGGCAGACGGGUGAGUAACACGUGGGAACGUACCCUUCGGUUCGGAAUAACUCAGGGAAACUUGAGCUAAUACCGGAUACGCCCUUUUGGGGAAAGGUUUACUGCCGAAGGAUCGGCCCGCGUCUGAUUAGCUUGUGGGUGGGGUAACGGCCUACCAAGGCGACGAUCAGUGGCUGGGCUGAGAGGAUGAUUAGCCACACUGGGACUGAGACACGGCCCAGACUCCUACGGGAGGCAGCAGUAGGGAAUAUUGGACAAUGGGCGCAAGCCUGAUCCAGCCAUGCCGCGUGAGUGAUGAAGGCCUUAGGGUUGUAAAGCUCUUUUGUCCGGGACGAUAAUGACGGUACCGGAAGAAUAAGCCCCGGCUAACUUCGUG